GAGGAAUAUUGGUCAAUGGACGGAAGUCUGAACCAGCCAAGUAGCGUGCAGGAAGACGGCCCUAUGGGUUGUAAACUGCUUUUGUAUGGGGAUAAAGUUAGGGACGUGUCCCUAUUUGCAGGUACCAUACGAAUAAGGACCGGCUAAUUCCGUGCCAGCAGCCGCGGUAAUACGGAAGGUCCAGGCGUUAUCCGGAUUUAUUGGGUUUAAAGGGAGCGUAGGCUGGAGAUUAAGUGUGUUGUGAAAUGUAGACGCUCAACGUCUGAAUUGCAGCGCAUACUGGUUUCCUUGAGUACGCACAACGUUGGCGGAAUUCGUCGUGUAGCGGUGAAAUGCUUAGAUAUGACGAAGAACUCCGAUUGCGAAGGCAGCUGACGGGAGCGCAACUGACGCUGAAGCUCGAAGGUGCGGGUAUCGAACAGGAUUAGAUACCCUGGUAGUCCGCACAGUAAACGAUGGAUGCCCGCUGUUGGUACCUGGUAUCAGCGGCUAAGCGAAAGCAUUAAGCAUCCCACCUGGGGAGUACGCCGGCAACGGUG
RNAcentral lists this ribosomal RNA (539 nucleotides) under uncultured bacterium. Its description in RNAcentral is "bacterial SSU rRNA". It matches the Rfam family "Bacterial small subunit ribosomal RNA", at positions 356 to 896 of the family's 1533-position model. The record is from RNAcentral.